RNAcentral lists this ribosomal RNA (460 nucleotides) under uncultured bacterium. Its description in RNAcentral is "partial 16S ribosomal RNA". It matches the Rfam family "Bacterial small subunit ribosomal RNA", at positions 338 to 795 of the family's 1533-position model. The record is from RNAcentral.
CCUACGGGUGGCAGCAGUGAGGAAUAUUGGUCAAUGGGAGGAAUCCUGAACCAGCCAUGCCGCGUGCAGGACGACGGCUCUACGAGUUGUAAACUGCUUUUGUACCGGGGUAAAAUGCUCUACGAGUAGGGUUUUGAAAGUACGGUACGAAUAAGGAUCGGCUAACUCCGUGCCAGCAGCCGCGGUAAUACGGAGGAUCCGAGCGUUAUCCGGAUUUAUUGGGUUUAAAGGGUGCGUAGGUUGUUUUAUAAGUUAGCGGUGAAAUACCGAUGCUCAACAUCGGAGCUGCCGCUGAUACUGUAGGACUAGAGAUCGGAUGCAGCAGGCGGAAUGUGUAGUGUAGCGGUGAAAUGCAUAGAUAUUACACAGAACACCGAUUGCGAAGGCAGCUUGCUAGGCCGGAUCUGACACUGAUGCACGAAAGCGUGGGGAUCGAACAGGAUUAGAUACCCGAGUAGUC